Pelobates cultripes (western spadefoot toad) is the source of this 479-nucleotide non-coding RNA. NCBI's taxonomy places the organism in Eukaryota, Metazoa, Chordata, Amphibia, Anura, Pelobatidae. The record is from the annotation of a GenBank genome assembly.
AGGAGACAUAUAGAUAUAGAAAGAAACUACCACAACAAGAGGACAGUCUUAAAUUAGAGGGGCAAAGGUUUCUAAAUAUCAGGAAGUAUUACUUUACUGAGAGGGUAGUGGAUGUAUGGAAUAGCCUUCAGCUGAAGUGGUAGAGGUUAACACAGUAAAGGAGUUUAAGCAUGCAUGGGAUAGGCAGAAGGCUAUCCUAGCUAUAAGGUACUCUAUGAGCUGUCUGACAAAUGACACUUCUCCCCACCACUUGAAAUAAGUUCAACAGCUGAAGUGUGCAUUUUAAUAGGCAUGUUUAAAAAGGUAAUGUUUGUAAUACCUGUUUUUAAUAUUUAAAUGUCAGGUUUGUACCCUGUGUCCCAUAUACAUAAUGUAGGGAUGUGAACAAACCACAACUCAAUUACAGCAGGCUGUAAAACAAUGCAAACACACAGUGCAAUAGCAAGCCUGGUGAUGGGUGUUUGAAGCAUAUAAUAUUC